Molecule: ribosomal RNA, 394 nt
Filed under: uncultured bacterium
Lineage: Bacteria
Description: bacterial SSU rRNA
Rfam family: Bacterial small subunit ribosomal RNA
Source: RNAcentral
AACGAACGCUGGCGGCGUGCCUAACACAUGCAAGUCGUGCGAGAAAGUUCCUUCGGGAGCGAGUAAAGCGGCGCACGGGUGAGUAACACGUAGGUAACCUGCCCCCCAGUCUGGAACAACUAGAGGAAACUCUAGCUAAUGCCGGAUGAGACCACGAUCCCUUCGGGGGUUGCGGCCAAAGAUGGCCUCUACUUGUAAGCUAUCGCUGAGGGAUGGGCCUGCGGCCAUUAGCUUGUUGGUGAGGUAACGGCUCACCAAGGCUGUGAUGGCUAGCUGGUCUGAGAGGAUGACCAGCCACACUGGGACUGAGACACGGCCCAGACUCCUACGGGAGCAGCAGUGGGAAUAUUGCGCAAUGGGCGAAAGCCUGACGCAGCGACGCCGCGUGGGUGAU